This 1351-nucleotide ribosomal RNA is filed under the name uncultured bacterium. RNAcentral's name for it is "bacterial SSU rRNA". It matches the Rfam family "Bacterial small subunit ribosomal RNA", at positions 29 to 1393 of the family's 1533-position model. The record is from RNAcentral.
ACGAACGCUGGCGGCGUGCUUUACACAUGCAAGUCGAGCGGUAAGGCCCCUUCGGGGGUACACGAGCGGCGAACGGGUGAGUAACACGUGGGUAACCUACCCCUGACUCUGGAAUAACCCCGGGAAACCGGGGCUAAUACCGGGUACUCACCACAUCUUGCAUGGGAUGUGGUGGAAAGUGUUUAGCGGUCAGGGAUGGGCCCGCGGCCUAUCAGCUUGUUGGUGGGGUAACGGCCUACCAAGGCAUCGACGGGUAGCCGGCCUGAGAGGGCGACCGGCCACACUGGGACUGAGACACGGCCCAGACUCCUACGGGAGGUAGCAGUGGGGAAUAUUGCCCAAUGGGCGAAAGCCUGAGGCAGCGACGCCGCGUGAGGGAUGAAUGCCUUCGGGUUGUAAACCUCUGUCACCAGGGACGAAGCGAAAGUGACGGUACCUGGCGAGAAAGCUCCGGCUAACUACGUGCCAGCAGCCGCGGUAAUACGUAGGGGGCAAGCGUUGUCCGGAAUUAUUGGGCGUAAAGAGCUCGUAGGCGGUCUGUCGCGUCUGCUGUGAAAACUCGGGGCUCAACUCCGAGCUGGCAGUGGAUACGGGCAGACUAGAGCACGGUAGGGGAGACUGGAAUUCCUGGUGUAGCGGUGGAAUGCGCAGAUAUCAGGAGGAACACCGGUGGCGAAGGCGGGUCUCUGGGCCGUUGCUGACGCUGAGGAGCGAAAGCGUGGGGAGCGAACAGGAUUAGAUACCCUGGUAGUCCACGCUGUAAACGUUGGGCGCUAGGUGUGGGAGUCUUUUGUGACGUCCGUGCCGUAGCUAACGCAUUAAGCGCCCCGCCUGGGGAGUACGGUCGCAAGACUAAAACUCAAAGGAAUUGACGGGGGCCCGCACAAGCGGCGGAGCAUGUUGCUUAAUUCGAGGCAACGCGAAGAACCUUACCUGGGUUUGACAUGUGGGUUAAUCCGGCAGAGAUGUCGGGUCCUUUUGGGAACUCAUGCAGGUGGUGCAUGGCUGUCAUCAGCUCGUGUCGUGAGAUGUUGGGUUAAGUCCCGCAACGAGCGCAACCCUCGUCCUAUGUUGCCAGCACGUUAUGGUGGGGACUCAUAGGAGACUGCCGGGGUCAACUCGGAGGAAGGUGGGGAUGAUGUCAAGUCUUCAUGCCCCUUAUGUCCAGGGCUGCAAACAUGCUACAAUGGUCGGUACAAUGGGCUGCGAGACCGUGAGGUGGAGCGAAUCCCUAAAAGCCGGCCUCAGUUCGGAUCGGGGUCUGCAACUCGACCCCGUGAAGUUGGAGUCGCUAGUAAUCGCGGAUCAGCAACGCCGCGGUGAAUACGUUCCCGGGCCUUGCACACACCGC